AUACUUACCUGGCAGGGGAGAUACCAUGAUCACAAAGGUGGUUUUCCCAGGGCGAGGCUUAUCCGUUGCACCCCGGAUGUGCUGACCCCUGCCAUUUCCCCAAAUGCGGGAAACUCGACUGCAUAAUUUGUGGUAGGGGGGACUGCAUUCGCGCUCUCCCCUG
Molecule: small nuclear RNA, 163 nt
Filed under: Peromyscus maniculatus bairdii (prairie deer mouse)
Lineage: Eukaryota; Metazoa; Chordata; Mammalia; Rodentia; Cricetidae
Description: U1 spliceosomal RNA (ENSPEMG00000027716.1)
Rfam family: U1 spliceosomal RNA
About the family: U1 is a small nuclear RNA (snRNA) component of the spliceosome (involved in pre-mRNA splicing). Its 5' end forms complementary base pairs with the 5' splice junction, thus defining the 5' donor site of an intron.
Source: Rfam by way of RNAcentral